RNAcentral lists this ribosomal RNA (472 nucleotides) under uncultured bacterium. RNAcentral's name for it is "bacterial SSU rRNA". It matches the Rfam family "Bacterial small subunit ribosomal RNA", at positions 355 to 825 of the family's 1533-position model. The record is from RNAcentral.
UGGGGAAUAUUGGACAAUGGGCGAAAGCCUGAUCCAGCCAUGCCGCGUGUGUGAAGAAGGUCUUAGGAUCGUAAAGCACUUUAAGUUGGGAGGAAGGGCAGUAAAUUAAUACUUUGCUGUUUUGACGUUACCGACAGAAUAAGCACCGGCUAACUCUGUGCCAGCAGCCGCGGUAAUACAGAGGGUGCAAGCGUUAAUCGGAAUUACUGGGCGUAAAGCGCGCGUAGGUGGUUCGUUAAGUUGGAUGUGAAAUCCCCGGGCUCAACCUGGGAACUGCAUUCAAAACUGUCGAGCUAGAGUAUGGUAGAGGGUGGUGGAAUUUCCUGUGUAGCGGUGAAAUGCGUAGAUAUAGGAAGGAACACCAGUGGCGAAGGCGACCACCUGGACUGAUACUGACACUGAGGUGCGAAAGCGUGGGGAGCAAACAGGAUUAGAUACCCAAGUAGUCCCUGAGCGGGCUGGCAAGGCGCAU